AGAGUUUGAUCAUGGCUCAGGAUGAACGUUGGCUGUGUGCCUAAGGUAUGCAAGUCGAACGAUCCCUUUGAAUUACUUGAAACUUCGGUUGAUUGUUUUUCUUUUUGGGAUAGUGGCAAACGGGUGAGUAACACGUGGAUAACCUGCCUUAAAGUCAUGAACAGCUCAUCGAAAGAUGGGAUAAUACAUGAUGGUCUUACAAUUUCUAUCCGACUUUGUAAGUAAAGCUCCGGCGCUUUAAGAGGGGUCCGCGUCCUAUCAGCUUGUUGGUGAGGUAAUAGCUCACCAAGGCUAAGACGGGUAGCUGGCGUGAGAGCGCGGUCAGCCACCAUGGAACUGAGACACGGUCCAUACUCCUACGGGAGGCAGCAAUUAGGAAUCUUGCGCAAUGGGGGCAACCCUGACGCAGCGACACAGCGUGGAGGACGACGGUCUUCGGAUUGUAAACUCCUUUUAUAUGGGAAGAAUAGAUGACGGUACCAUAUGAAUAAGCACCUGCUAACUACGUGCCAGAAGCAUCGGUGAUACGUAGGGUGCGAACGUUAUCCGGAUUUAUUGGGCGUAUAGAGAUGCGUAGGCGUUUCUGUAAGUCUGAAGUUAAAGCCCACGGCUCAACCGUGGAAAAGCUUUGGAAACUACAGAAAUUGAGACAGGAAGAGGCGAAUGGAAUUCCCAGUGGAGCGGUGAAAUGCGUUGAUAUUGGGAGGAACAUCAGUGGCGAAGGCGAUUCGCUGGUCCUUGUCUGACGCUGAGGCUCGAAAGCGUGGGUAGCAAAACGGAUUAGAUACCCGUGUAGUCCACGCCGUAAACUAUGGAUGCUAGGUGUUCGGUACAACCGUUCUUUCCUUCGGGAAAAGAUGGAAGUAUUGAGUGCCGCAGCUAACGCGUUAAGCAUCCCGCCUGGGAAGUACGGCCGCAAGGCUAAAACUCAAAUGAAUUGACGG
Molecule: ribosomal RNA, 944 nt
Filed under: bacterium enrichment culture clone L35B_26
Lineage: Bacteria
Description: bacterial SSU rRNA
Rfam family: Bacterial small subunit ribosomal RNA
Source: RNAcentral